Molecule: ribosomal RNA, 442 nt
Filed under: uncultured bacterium
Lineage: Bacteria
Description: partial 16S ribosomal RNA
Rfam family: Bacterial small subunit ribosomal RNA
Source: RNAcentral
CCUACGGGUGGCAGCAGUGGGGAAUAUUGGUCAAUGGACGCAAGUCUGACCCAGCAAUGCCGCGUGAAGGAAGAAGGCUUUCGGGUUUUAAACUUGUUUUAAUGGGGAAGAGCAUAAGACUGUACCUCUUGAAUAAGCCACGGCUAACUACUUGCCAUCAGCCGCUGUAAUACGUAGGGGGCAGGCGUUGUCCGGAGUUACUGGGUGUAAAGGGUGUGCAGCCGGAGAGACAAGUCAGAUGUGAAAUCCACGGGCUCAACCCGGGAACUGCAGUUGAAACUGGUUGCCUUGAGUGUCGGAGAGGUAAUCGGAAUUCCUUGUGUAGCGGUGAAAUGCGUAGAUAUAAGGAAGAACACCAGUGGCGAAGGCAGAUUACUGGACGAUAACUGACGGUGAGGCGCGAAAGCGUGGGGAGCAAACAGGAUUAGAUACCCUUGUAGUC